AGAUUUAAAUACAGUCCGCUGUAGAAAGCAGGUGCCGUAAGGCUUAAUGUCCUGCCGAGGUUGGAAGACUAGCCGAUAGAUACUUAUUUGGCAUUCUUAACCUCUGCAACAGCGGAGGUUUUUUGAUGAGUUU
Peptococcaceae bacterium BRH_c23 is the source of this 133-nucleotide non-coding RNA. NCBI's taxonomy places the organism in Bacteria, Bacillati, Bacillota, Clostridia, Eubacteriales, Peptococcaceae. The record is from Rfam.